UUGUUCCCGUGGUGUAGGUAGCACAUUAGGUUUUCGUCCUGGGGGCAUACAGUUAGUGUAUCGGGAA
RNAcentral lists this transfer RNA (67 nucleotides) under Haliotis diversicolor supertexta. Its description in RNAcentral is "tRNA-Glu". The record is from RNAcentral. Lineage: Eukaryota; Metazoa; Mollusca; Gastropoda; Lepetellida; Haliotidae.